Molecule: small nucleolar RNA, 120 nt
Filed under: Echinops telfairi (small Madagascar hedgehog)
Lineage: Eukaryota; Metazoa; Chordata; Mammalia; Afrosoricida; Tenrecidae
Description: Small nucleolar RNA SNORA61 (ENSETEG00000025406.1)
Source: RNAcentral
AACCCCCUUUCCCGCUCCCCACUAGAUCUAAAUAUUGGUCUGAGUGGCUGAAAAAGGAGGAAAAGUAAAAUUGAUGUUGACCUGGCGUCUUUCAGUCCAUACAUUCAUUUUCAAGCAUAU